This 492-nucleotide ribosomal RNA is filed under the name uncultured bacterium. RNAcentral's name for it is "bacterial SSU rRNA". It matches the Rfam family "Bacterial small subunit ribosomal RNA", at positions 29 to 524 of the family's 1533-position model. The record is from RNAcentral.
AUUGAACGCUGGCGGCAUGCCUAACACAUGCAAGUCGAACGGGGGCAGCAAUGCCCUAGUGGCGGACGGGUGAGGAAUACGUAGGAACCGGCCCACGAGUGGGGGACAACCUGGGGAAACCCAGGCUAAUACCGCAUACGCUCGCGAGAGGAAAGCGGGGGGACCUUCGGGCCUCGCGCUGGUGGACGGGCCUACGUCCGAUUAGCUAGUUGGUGGGGUAAAAGCCUACUAAGGCGACGAUCGGUAGCUGGUCUGAGAGGAUGAUCAGCCACACUGGGACUGAGACACGGCCCAGACUCCUACGGGAGGCAGCAGUGGGGAAUAUUGGACAAUGGGCACAAGCCUGAUCCAGCAAUGCCGCGUGGGUGAAGAAGGCCUGCGGGUUGUAAAGCCCUUUAAGCGGGGAGGAAAGCCGGGAUGUGAAUAGCACCUCGGGGUGACGUUACCCGCAGAAUAAGCACCGGCUAACUACGUGCCAGCAGCCGCGGUAAU